AUGACGUCAAGUCCUCAUGGCCUUUAUGACCAGGCUACACACGUACUACAAGUGGACCGGUACAAAGGGCAGCGACACAGCGAUGUGAAGCCAAUACCCGAAAAGCCGGUCUCAGUCCGGAUUGGAGUCUGCAACUCGACUCCAUGAAGUUGGAAUCGCUAGUAAUCGGCGGAUCAGCACGCCGCGGUGAAUACGUUCCCGGGCCUU
RNAcentral lists this ribosomal RNA (207 nucleotides) under uncultured Desulfocapsa sp. RNAcentral describes it as "partial 16S ribosomal RNA". It matches the Rfam family "Bacterial small subunit ribosomal RNA", at positions 1179 to 1382 of the family's 1533-position model. The record is from RNAcentral. Lineage: Bacteria; Pseudomonadati; Thermodesulfobacteriota; Desulfobulbia; Desulfobulbales; Desulfocapsaceae.